CAGUCGCCACGGUAAUACAGAGGGUGCGAGCGUUAAUCGGAUUUACUGGGCGUAAAGCGUGCGUAGGCGGCUUCUUAAGUCGGAUGUGAAAUCCCUGAGCUUAACUUAGGAAUUGCAUUCGAUACUGGGAAGCUAGAGUAUGGGAGAGGAUGGUAGAAUUCCAGGUGUAGCGGUGAAAUGCGUAGAGAUCUGGAGGAAUACCGAUGGCGAAGGCAGCCAUCUGGCCUAAUACUGACGCUGAGGUACGAAAGCAUGGGGUGCAAACAGGAUUAGAUACCCCAGUAGUCCCUGUCUCUUAUAC
Molecule: ribosomal RNA, 301 nt
Filed under: uncultured bacterium
Lineage: Bacteria
Description: partial 16S ribosomal RNA
Rfam family: Bacterial small subunit ribosomal RNA
Source: RNAcentral